ACUCAAAGGAAUUGACGGGGGCCCGCACAAGCGGUGGAGCAUGUGGUUCAAUUCGAAGCAACGCGAAGAACCUUACCAGCUCUUGACAUGUCCGGUUUGGGUUUCAGAGAUGAGACUCUUCAGUUCGGCUGGCCGGAACACAGGUGCUGCAUGGCUGUCGUCAGCUCGUGUCGUGAGAUGUUGGGUUAAGUCCCGCAACGAGCGCAACCCUCGCCCUUAGUUGCCAUCAUUUAGUUGGGCACUCUAAGGGGACUGCCGGUGAUAAGCCGGAGGAAGGUGGGGAUGACGUCAAGUCCUCAGGGCCCUUACGGGCUGGGCUACACACGUGCUACAAUGGCGGUGACAGAGGGAUGCGAAGGAGCGAUCCUUGGCAAAUCUCAAAAAACCGUCUCAGUUCGGAUUGGGGUCUGCAACUCGACCCCAUGAAGUUGGAAUCGCUAGUAAUCGCGGAUCAGCACGCCGCGGUGAAUACGUUCCCGGGCCUUGCACACACCGCCCGU
This 500-nucleotide ribosomal RNA is filed under the name uncultured bacterium. RNAcentral describes it as "partial 16S ribosomal RNA". It matches the Rfam family "Bacterial small subunit ribosomal RNA", at positions 899 to 1397 of the family's 1533-position model. The record is from RNAcentral.